RNAcentral lists this ribosomal RNA (514 nucleotides) under Colaspoides sp. JGZ-2004. RNAcentral's name for it is "partial 16S ribosomal RNA". The stretch from base 388 to 514 matches the Rfam family "Bacterial large subunit ribosomal RNA", at positions 2473 to 2600 of the family's 2925-position model. Lineage: Eukaryota; Metazoa; Arthropoda; Insecta; Coleoptera; Chrysomelidae. The record is from RNAcentral.
GUCUUUUUGAUAAUAAUUUAAAGUCGGUCCUGCCCAAUGAUUUAAAUUUAAUGGCCGCAGUAUUCUAACUGUGCUAAGGUAGCAUAAUAAUUAGUUUUUUAAUUUGAGACUGGAAUGAAAGGUUUAAUGAAAAAAUUACUGUCUCUAUUUAAUUUUAAUUGAAUUUUAUUUUUAAGUAAAAAAGCUUAAAUUUUUUUAAAAGACGAUAAGACCCUAUAGAGUUUUAUUAAUUUGGAUUAUAUUGAAUUUUGGUAAAUUUAAUUUAAUUUAAUUUAAUUUAAUUUAAUUGGGGUGAUUAUAAAAUUAAGUUAACUUUUAUUUUAUUUUUAUACUAAUAAGUAAUUUUUUGAUCCAUUAUUAAUGAUUAUAAGAUUAAAUUACCUUMGGGAUAACAGCGUAAUUUUUUCUGAGAGUUCUUAUUGAAGAUAAGGUUUGCGACCUCGAUGUUGGAUUAAAAUUUAAUUUUGGUGAAGAAGCUAAAAAUUUAGGUCUGUUCGACCUUUAAAAUUUUACA